Molecule: ribosomal RNA, 443 nt
Filed under: uncultured bacterium
Lineage: Bacteria
Description: partial 16S ribosomal RNA
Rfam family: Bacterial small subunit ribosomal RNA
Source: RNAcentral
CCUACGGGAGGCAGCAGUGGGGGAUAUUGGACAAUGGGGGAAACCCUGAUCCAGCGACGCCGCGUGAGUGAAGAAGUAUUUCGGUAUGUAAAGCUCUAUUAGUAGGGAAGAAAGAAAUGACGGUACUUGAGUAAGAAGCCUCGGCUAACUACGAGCCAGCAGCCGCGGUAAUACGGAGGAGGCAAGCGUUAUCCGGAAUUACUGGGUGUAAAGGGAGCGUAGACGGUAAUGCAAGUCAGGGGUGAAAGGCGGGGGCCCAACCCCCGGACUGCAGUGGAAACUGGGUGACUGGAGUGCAGGAGAGGCAGGCGGAAUUCGUGGUGUAGCGGUGAAAUGCGUAGAUAUUAGGAAGAACUCCGGUGGCGAAGGCAGCCUGCUGGACUGUAACUGACGUUGAGGCUCGAAAGCGUGGGGAGCAAACAGGAUUAGAUACCCUAGUAGUC